UCUGCUUCUCUUAAAAGUAUUCGUAUUCAUGCCUGUGAACUCACUUUAUGGUUCUUGGGCAUUGACAAGACGGGGAGCAGAAAGCAAUUGUUCCUCUCGCUAUCCAGCGCAGAAUUUCAUGAUGCAACUGGACGUCGAGGAACGACAAUU
Small nucleolar RNA from Lolium rigidum, 150 nucleotides. RefSeq annotates it as small nucleolar RNA snoR136. The transcript has a single exon. The record is from RefSeq and is a predicted model, not a curated record. Lineage: Eukaryota; Viridiplantae; Streptophyta; Magnoliopsida; Poales; Poaceae.